UACGUAGGGUGCGAGCGUUGUCCGGAAUUAUUGGGCGUAAAGAGCUCGUAGGCGGCUUGUCGCGUCGGAUGUGAAAGCCCGGGGCUUAACCCCGGGUCGGCAGUGGAUACGGGCAGGCUAGAGGUAGGUAGGGGAGAAUGGAAUUCCCGGUGUAGCGGUGAAAUGCGCAGAUAUCGGGAGGAACACCGGUGGCGAAGGCGGUUCUCUGGGCCUUACCUGACGCUGAGGAGCGAAAGCGUGGGGAGCGAACAGG
Molecule: ribosomal RNA, 253 nt
Filed under: uncultured bacterium
Lineage: Bacteria
Description: partial 16S ribosomal RNA
Rfam family: Bacterial small subunit ribosomal RNA
Source: RNAcentral